GACGAACGCUGGCGGCGUGCUUAACACAUGCAAGUCGAACGGAAAGGCCUCUUUCGGGGGGUACUCGAGUGGCGAACGGGUGAGUAACACGUGAGUAACCUGCCCUUGACUUUGGGAUAACUUCAGGAAACUGGGGCUAAUACCGGAUAGGAGCUCCUGCUGCAUGGUGGGGGUUGGACAGUUUCGGCGGUUGGGGAUGGACUCGCGGCUUAUCAGCUUGUUGGUGGGGUAGUGGCUUACCAAGGCUUUGACGGGUAGCCGGCCUGAGAGGGUGACCGGCCACAUUGGGACUGAGAUACGGCCCAGACUCCUACAGGAGGCAGCAGUGGGGAAUAUUGCACAAUGGGUGGAAGCCUGAUGCAGCAACGCCGUGUGCGGGAUGACGGCCUUCGGGUUGUAAACCGCUUUCGCUCAUGACGAAGCUUUGUGUGACGGUAGUGGGUAAAGAAGCACCGGCUAACUACGUG
Molecule: ribosomal RNA, 467 nt
Filed under: uncultured bacterium
Lineage: Bacteria
Description: partial 16S ribosomal RNA
Rfam family: Bacterial small subunit ribosomal RNA
Source: RNAcentral